UGAGUACGAGAUGCUACGGCAUCGAAGCAGUCUAUGUCAUACUUCCAAGAAAAGCUUGCACUGUCAGAAACAGAUAAUGCCUGUACCAUAACCGACACAGGUGGGUAGGUAGAGUAUACUAAGGGGCGCGAGAUAACUCUCUCUAAGGAACUCGGCAAAAUGACUCCGUAACUUCGGGAGAAGGAGUGCCUUAUUUUUAAGGUUGCAAUAACAAGAUCCAAGCAACUGUUUACCAAAAACACAGGUCUCCGCUAAGUCGUAAGACGAUGUAUGGGGGCUGACGCCUGCCCAGUGCCAGAAGGUUAAAGAAGUCGGUUAGCAUUCGCGAAGCUGGUAACUGAAGCCCUGGUGAACGGCGGCCGUAACAAUAACGGUCCUAAGGUAGCGAAAUUCCUUGUCGGGUAAGUUCCACCCGCACGAAAGGCGUAAUGAUUUGGAUACUGUCUCGGAGAGGGGCUCGGUGAAAUAGACUUGUCUGUGAAGAUGCGGACUACCUGCACCUGGACAGAAAGACCCUAUGAAGCUUUACUGUAACUUGAAAUUGAAAUUGGACUUUAUUUGCGCAGCAUAGGUGGGAGGCGUUGAAAAUAUUCUUGCGGGAAUAUUGGAGCCAUCAGUGAGAUACCACUCUUGUAAUGUUAGAUUUCUAACUUUAUAUCAUUAUCUGGUUAAAGAACAGUUUCAGGCGGGCAGUUUGACUGGGGCGGUCGCCUCCCAAAUGGUAACGGAGGCGCACAAAGGUUUCCUCUGAACGGGUAGAAAUCGUAUCUAGAGUGUAAAGGCAUAAGGAAGCUUGACUGUGAGACCUACAAGUCGAGCAGGGACGAAAGUCGGUCUUAGUGAUCUGACGGUGCUGAGUGGAAAGGCCGUCACUCAACGGAUAAAAGUUACUCUAAGGAUAACAGGCUGAUCUCCCCCAAGAGUUCACAUCGACGGGGAGGUUUGGCACCUCGAUGUCGGCUCAUCGCAUCCUGGGGCGGUAGUACGUCCCAAGGGUUGGGCUGUUCGCCCAUGAAAGCGGUACGCGAGCUGGGUUCAGAACGUCGUGAGACAGUUCGGUCCAUAUCCGGUGUAGGCGUUAGAAUAUUGAGAGGAGCCUUCUUUAGUACGAGAGGACCGAGAAGGACAUACCUCUGGUGUACCAGUUAUCGUGCCAACGGUAAACGCUGGGUAGCUAUGUAUGGAGUGGAUAACCGCUGAAAGCAUCUAAGUGGGUAGCCCACCUCAAGAUAAGUAUUCUC
Molecule: ribosomal RNA, 1241 nt
Filed under: metagenome
Description: bacterial LSU rRNA
Rfam family: Bacterial large subunit ribosomal RNA
Source: RNAcentral